GAUGAAUGCUGGCGGCGUGCUUAACACAUGCAAGUCGAGCGGUAAGGCCCUUCGGGGUACACGAGCGGCGGACGGCUGAGUAACGCGUGGGAACAUGCCCUAAAGUGAGGAAUAACUGCCCGAAAGGGUGGCUAAUGCCGCAUAUGAUCUUCGGAUUAAAGGAUUUAUCCGCUUUAGGAGUGGCCUGCGUACGAUUAGCUUGUUGGUGAGGUAAUGGCUUACCAAGGCGACGAUCGUUAGCUGGUCUGAGAGGAUGACCAGCCAGACUGGAACUGAGACACGGUCCAGACUCCUACGGGAGGCAGCAGUGAGGAAUCUUCCACAAUGGGCGAAAGCCUGAUGGAGCAACGCCGCGUGCAGGAUGAAGGCCCUCGGGUCGUAAACUGCUUUUAUGAGUGAAGAGUAUGACGGUAACUCAUGAAUAAGCACCGGCUAACUACGUGCCAGCCGCCGCCGUA
Molecule: ribosomal RNA, 458 nt
Filed under: uncultured bacterium
Lineage: Bacteria
Description: partial 16S ribosomal RNA
Rfam family: Bacterial small subunit ribosomal RNA
Source: RNAcentral